UGCCAGCCGCCGCGGUAAUACGAACCGGACAAACGUUAUUCGGAAUUAUUGGGCUUAAAGGGUGCGUAGGCGGUGCGGUAAGUGAGGUGUGAAAGCCCACGGCUCAACCGUGGAAUUGCGCUUCAUACUGCCGUGCUAGAGGGAGACAGAGGUAAGCGGAACUGAUGGUGGAGCGGUGAAAUGCGUUGAUAUUAUCAGGAACACCGGUGGCGAAAGCGGCUCUCUGGGUCUCUACUGACGCUGAGGCGUGAAGGCGUGGGUAGCGAACGGGAUUAGAUA
Molecule: ribosomal RNA, 279 nt
Filed under: uncultured bacterium
Lineage: Bacteria
Description: partial 16S ribosomal RNA
Rfam family: Bacterial small subunit ribosomal RNA
Source: RNAcentral